UUAUUGGAGAGUUUGAUCCUGGCUCAGGAUGAACGCUGGCGGCGUGCCUAAUACAUGCAAGUCGAGCGAAUGGAUUAAGAGCUUGCUCUUAUGAAGUUAGCGGCGGACGGGUGAGUAACACGUGGGUAACCUGCCCAUAAGACUGGGAUAACUCCGGGAAACCGGGGCUAAUACCGGAUAACAUUUUGAACUGCAUGGUUCGAAAUUGAAAGGCGGCUUCGGCUGUCACUUAUGGAUGGACCCGCGUCGCAUUAGCUAGUUGGUGAGGU
RNAcentral lists this ribosomal RNA (269 nucleotides) under Bacillus cereus. RNAcentral's name for it is "partial 16S ribosomal RNA". It matches the Rfam family "Bacterial small subunit ribosomal RNA", at positions 1 to 258 of the family's 1533-position model. The record is from RNAcentral. RNAcentral also lists the same sequence under 6 other names. Lineage: Bacteria; Bacillati; Bacillota; Bacilli; Caryophanales; Bacillaceae.